RNAcentral lists this ribosomal RNA (424 nucleotides) under uncultured marine eukaryote. Its description in RNAcentral is "bacterial SSU rRNA". The record is from RNAcentral.
UUAAAGGGUUCGUAGUUGAAUUGAGGGCUGUCAAGGAGACGAACAAGUCCCGUCCUUCGGAUAGGUGACCUUCGCUCUUGCAGUUCGUGAACAUCAGAAACAAACAUCUCGGAAGCGUUUCCCCCCAACCUACGCAUGCAAUGUAUGCAGGGGGGCGUCCGUGUGUCUUACUGUGACUAAAAAAGUGCGACCAAAGCAGUCGUUCGACAUGAAUUAGAAAGCAUGGGAUAACAACGAAUCAGCCUUCGGGUUACCGUUUCGGCUUUUGCUGGUUUUAGAGAUCUGAAGGAGAUUAUGGGCUCGCACGACAAGCGGUUCGGGGUUCCGUCCCCACGCCUCCAUCGUUUAUGGCUUUCGGGUCUAGGCGGUGGCUUUGCGGCGCCCAGGAAUGAAGGAGGGUUGUUCGGGGGAGAACGUACUUGAA